This 231-nucleotide ribosomal RNA is filed under the name uncultured bacterium. RNAcentral's name for it is "partial 16S ribosomal RNA". It matches the Rfam family "Bacterial small subunit ribosomal RNA", at positions 99 to 334 of the family's 1533-position model. The record is from RNAcentral.
CGGACGGGUGAGUAAUGUCUGGGAAACUGCCUGAUGGAGGGGGGUAACUACUGGAAACGGUAGCUAAUACCGCAUAACGUCGCAAGACCAAAGAGGGGGACCUUCGGGCCUCUUGCCAUCGGAUGUGCCCAGAUGGGAUUAGCUAGUAGGUGGGGUAACGGCUCACCUAGGCGACGAUCCCUAGCUGGUCUGAGAGGAUGACCAGCCACAUGGAACUGAGACACGGUCCAG